Molecule: ribosomal RNA, 252 nt
Filed under: uncultured bacterium
Lineage: Bacteria
Description: partial 16S ribosomal RNA
Rfam family: Bacterial small subunit ribosomal RNA
Source: RNAcentral
UACGGGGGGGGCAAGCGUUGUUCGGAAUUACUGGGCGUAAAGGGCUCGUAGGCGGCCAACUAAGUCCGACGUGAAAUCCCCAGGCUUAACCUGGGAACUGCGUCGGAUACUGGAUGGCUUGAAUUCGGGAGAGGGAUGCAGAAUUCCAGGUGUAGCGGUGAAAUGCGUAGAUAUCGGGAGGAACACCAGUGGCGAAGGCGGCGAUCUGGGAAGAUACUGACGCUGAGGUGCGAAAGCGUGGGAGCAAACAGG